UACAGAGGUCCCAAGCGUUGUUCGGAUUCACUGGGCGUAAAGGGUGCGUAGGCGGUUGUGCAAGUCUGAUGUGAAAUCUCCGGGCUCAACCCGGAAAUGGCAUUGGAAACUGCAUGGCUAGAGGGUUGGAGGGGGGACUGGAAUACUUGGUGUAGCAGUGAAAUGCGUAGAUAUCAAGUGGAACACCAGUGGCGAAGGCGAGUCCCUGGACAACACCUGACACUGAGGCACGAAAGCUAGGGGAGCAAACAGG
This 253-nucleotide ribosomal RNA is filed under the name uncultured bacterium. RNAcentral's name for it is "partial 16S ribosomal RNA". It matches the Rfam family "Bacterial small subunit ribosomal RNA", at positions 524 to 776 of the family's 1533-position model. The record is from RNAcentral.